GGAGAUUACUCUUUACUCUUAGAUUGGUGAUUGGGGCUUAUUGAAUGUUAACAAGCUCAGUUUUGUUUUUUGUUUUGUUUUAAAAUCAAUGGACAACUUUGGAAUAAAAGAGGCUCUCGAAUGCUCUCUAGAGAAACCCCUAGAGUCAGUAGAGAAAAUUUCUCUGCCCGGUCAGCUUCUGGAUAAACAAAAAAUAAAAGCAAAUACGAUGGGAUCGCUAAGCAAAUCUACCCACAUUGGAAUCACGUUGUAAUCAUCCCACAAGUAUCCGCAAGGCUGACUUGACAUUGCAAAGGACCGUCAAAGUUGCUUACAAGUUAGGUGUACAUAGUUUUCCCCCAAAAUCAAAGUUCCCUCUUUGGCCCUCAGUGAGACCUGGAGUCUGGGCCAUGAAUGCAAAACACGGCAUUGCACCUCACUAGUUGAUCCCAAGGACUUGAAAACUGGGAUGCUGUGGGUCUUGUAGCCCUCUCACUGGGGAAAGCGAUACCCAUUUCUGAUUAUUUAGCUAAGAGUUAGCGGAUAAUGCCUGAAGGACCCAGGAGAGCUGAGAGCCCAGCGUAGGACACUCCCAUUUUCCUCUGAACCAUCAUGGAAAUGUCAGGUCCCUGGUCCAAGUCUGAGAGGUCAUCUGUCUGGGGAGGGAUGAACUCACUGGUUUGGACAAGGGCAGGCCACUUAACUGGUUGAGGUGAGCUUUCCUUGGCUACAAAAUGAUGAUAACUGCCCCCGCCGACUGCCUGGGACACUGGGAGGCACAGCACAGACAAGGUGCACUUGGACUUUCUCAGGAGUGGGCCGUGUAAUGUGCCUGGUGUCCCGGGCUCCCUUGCUCCUGCUUCCCAGUAGCUAGGGGUGCCUCCAUCCACUCUCAUCUCAGCCUCAGGACUGCCCUUCCCACUGGGGAGCGGUCAGCUUACAUAUACUUAAGCCCCCUUGGCUCAGGACCCAUCUGAGACUUGGCCUCCAGAGUCCCAAGUAACCCCAGGGAGCUCCUGCCAACUCUCUCCACCGAAGCACCUUCAGAAGCUGCCACCUCCUAGGCCCACUGCCUACACUUCUAGGCAAGUGGUCCUCAGCAGGAAGCAGCAGCAAACCUCACGCCUGCAGGCUGCCCACACGUCUGCCUGCAGCAUCCUCCUGGGAAUCACUCCUUCAUCUCCAGUUCCUCUCCUUGGCCUAAGACUCCAUCCUUCACCCAGAGGCACUUCAACACCUGGGCAGCCCCAGCAUGCACCUGCUAAAUCAAACAUCAAAAUAACACCUCAGAAAAAUCCAUCAUUGGAAGCACAGCCCUUACAAGUAGGCCAGGAGCCCUUGCUAAAUGGAAACGGUGUCUGCCUACUGAAAUACGAGACGUAACUAUGAACCAGUCUCCAAACAAAGCACACAACGUUCCCAGAGCACAAUUGAACACCACUCACUGUGAAUCAACCCAGAAGCAGAAGAAUUGCCUCUUGAGUAAGAAAAAAAGACCGUGAACUCACCUGGAGAUGGGACUUGCCAGGUGGCACUGGAGGUAAAAGAAUCUGCCUGCCAAUGCAGGGCAUGUGGGUUCAAUCCCUGGUCAGGAUUGAGAAUCCCUGGAGAAGGGAAAUGCAACCUGCUCCAGUAUUCCUGCCUGGGAAAUCCCAUGGACAGAGGAGCCUGGUAGGCUGUAGCUCGUGGGGCCACAAGAGUUAGACACAACUUAACAACUGAGCACACAUGCGUGCAACCUUGAGAUAAACCAGGGGUCGGUGUCAUGCGACGAGAAAGCUUCCUGAAACGUUUCAACCAUCAACCUUAAACUUCCUCAGGUGAGGGCGGGAGGCUGGUCCCAGGCAUCCAUGUUGGGCUAACAGCAGUCAGAAAGGGCCUUUAUGUGGACACUGACUUUCAUGUCAUUUAAUUAAAGAUAACUUUCUUUCCCCCCGAGUUUUCUCUCUACGAUGCCUCUCUUCAAGCAGCUGGCAUGUCUCUGUGUAGGAACCAUGUCCUUCAGAGGAGCUGGGGGCCAGAGGGGCCUUGGGGGCCUGCCUCUGCCCCUUGGUUCACUCCCACAAGUGAGGAGUAGGGCUCACCUAGACCC
Long non-coding RNA from Bos taurus (domestic cattle), 2071 nucleotides. NCBI's taxonomy places the organism in Eukaryota, Metazoa, Chordata, Mammalia, Artiodactyla, Bovidae. The record is from Ensembl.